CUUCGGGUUGUAAAUCGCUUUUCUGUGCGAAGAGGAAGGACGGUAACGCAGGAAGAAGUCUCUGGCUAACUACGUGCCAGCGAGCCGGGGGUAUAACGUACGAGGCCGAGCUGUUAUUCUCGGAUUCACUGUGGUUGUAAAUGCGCCGUGCAGGCGGACAUGUAAGUGGUGCCUGAAAGCGCCCGGCUCAACCGGUCGAUUGCCCGUGCCAUACUGCGUGACUGGAGCCAGCUAGAGGCGCGUGCGAAUUCCGGGUGUACUUGGUGAAAUGCGUAGAUAUCCGGAGGAACACCAGUGACGAAGCCGGCGCGCUGGGCCAGACCUGACGCUAAGACGCGAAAGCAUGGGGAGCGAACGGGAUUAGAAACCCCGGUAGUCCAUGCCGUAAACGCUGCAGACUAGCUCUUGCGUGCGUACGAGUAUACAGUGCCGAAGCCAACGUGAUAAGUCUGCCACAUGGGGACUACGGCCGCAAGGUUAAAACUCAAAGGAAUUGACGGGGGCCCGCACAAGCAGCGGAGCGUGUGGUUUAAUUAGAGGCUACACGAAGAACCUGACCUGGGCUAGACAUGCCGGUGGUAGGGAACCGAAAGGGGACCGACAUUCGGGAGCCGUCACAGGUGCUGCAUGGCUGUCAGUCAGCUCGUGUCGUGAGAUGUUCGGUUAAGUCCGGUAACGAGCGCAACCCUCGCCGAUAGAUUACAAGUGUCUAGCGGGACGUGACGCCGUUGUACACCGGGAGGAAGGUGGGGAUGACGUCAAGUUAGUAUGGCCUUUAUGUCCAGGGCUACACACACGGUACAAUGACCGGUACAAUGGGUCGCCAACCCGCGAGGGGGAGCCAAUCCAUCAAAGCCGGUCUCAGUUCGGGUUGCAGGCUGCAACCCGCCUGCAUGAAGUCGGAGUUGCUAGUAACCGCAGGUCAGCUAUACUCCGGUGAAUACGUUCCCGGGCCUUGUACACACCGCCCGUCACGUCAUGGGAGCUGGUCAUGCAUGAAGUCGGUGGGCUAACCUCACGGA
RNAcentral lists this ribosomal RNA (1022 nucleotides) under uncultured organism. RNAcentral describes it as "bacterial SSU rRNA". It matches the Rfam family "Bacterial small subunit ribosomal RNA", at positions 416 to 1447 of the family's 1533-position model. The record is from RNAcentral.